Molecule: ribosomal RNA, 468 nt
Filed under: uncultured bacterium
Lineage: Bacteria
Description: partial 16S ribosomal RNA
Rfam family: Bacterial small subunit ribosomal RNA
Source: RNAcentral
GAUGAACGCUGGCGGCGUGCUUAACACAUGCCAGUCGAACGGAAAGGCCCAAGAUUGCUUGGGUACUCGAGUGGCGAACGGGGGAGUAACACGUGGGUGAUGUGCUCUGCACUUCGGGAUAAGCCUGGGAAACUGGGUCUAAUACCGGAUAGGACGAUGGCUUGGGUGGCAUUGUGGGAAGUUUUUUCGGUGUGGGAUGUGGUCGCGGCGUAUCAGCAUGUUGGUGGGGACGUGGCCUAGCACGGCGUCGACGGGGAGCCGGCCGAGGAGAGUGUGCGGCCACACUAGAACUGUGAGACGGGCCGGACUCCGACGGGAGGCAGCAGGGGGGAAUAUUUCACAAUGGGCGCAAGCCUGAUGCAGCGACGCCGCGUGGGUGAUGACGGCCUUCGUGUUGUAAGCACCUCUCGCUAGGGACGAAGCGUUUUUGUGACGGUACCUGGAGAAGAAGCACCGGCUAACUACGUG